GCCGGGAUGGUGGAAUAGGUAGACACAGUGGACUUAAAAUCCACUGACCUUUUGGGGUCGUGUCGGUUCGAGUCCGACUCCCGGCA
RNAcentral lists this transfer RNA (86 nucleotides) under Candidatus Stahliibacteriota bacterium CG08_land_8_20_14_0_20_40_26. RNAcentral's name for it is "bacterium (Candidatus Stahlbacteria) CG08_land_8_20_14_0_20_40_26 tRNA-Leu". It matches the Rfam family "tRNA". Rfam says of the family: Transfer RNA (tRNA) molecules are approximately 80 nucleotides in length. Their secondary structure includes four short double-helical elements and three loops (D, anti-codon, and T loops). Lineage: Bacteria; Candidatus Stahliibacteriota. The record is from RNAcentral. RNAcentral also lists the same sequence under 1 other name.